AUGUCAGUACUGCCACUUUUGUGUAGGUGACACUGGUGACAUAUUUCCAUUAAAAACAAUAAAAGAAAAAGAAGGUUAAUAAAAUAAUUAAAAAAGAAAAAAAACUUCUACAAAAAUAUCCCUAAAAAAACAUAUUUGGUAUGAAAUAUAAAAUUAAGAAAGUAGAAAAAAUAUAUAAAAAUUCCCCCAAAAACUAUAUAACCCCAUACAAAUCCCUCACAAUGCCAUAACCAUGCACUGCCUGUCAGAAUAAUGCUAAGAGGAAUAAUACACUGCACCACAAUAGUAGUGCAGUGUUUUAUAGAAAUAAUCAGAUCUUUGGUGAAAGGUUGCCCUCUAAUGGGAAUAUGGGUGAAAAAAACAACCCAUAAAAUAAAAGUGUAAUAACAUGAUUUAUUAACCCCCCCCCUCCCCCACCAACAAAAAAAGAAAAAGAAAACAGUAGAAAGGCAGAAAUGCUUUUGAAAAAAGAAAUACACAAUAAUAAUUUAUAAAAUGUUCUGCCCCCUCCCCCAAAGAAAACAUAUAUUACCCUUAAAAUGUAUGAAUAAAUAAAUGAAAAUUAAGACAUAACCCAAACAUUACAAAAGCAAACCCUCCAAAAACCUGUCAAUAGUCUGCGUCAACAUCAUCCUGGGAUGAUGGGAGGAGUAGUACACUGCACUACUAUAGAAAUAAAAAUCCCUAUCAUCUAAAUCCCAAUGUGUUCCAUUUUUUUUUGUUCCUUUUUCUUAUGCGGUUUCAUAAUCCCUGAGAUAAGUAGUUCUGGCCCUAGAGUGUUAUAUAUAUUAGCGUCUGUAGCAUGUAUCAGGAACAUGUUAUCAUACCUGUGUCUUUUUACAGGUGACUGAUGUUCGGUGAGAAGGUGAAAGUGACCUAUACCCCCGUCAACUGCAAGAAAGGAACCACAGGACAGGUGACUGAUGUUCGGUGAGAAGGUGAAAGUGACCUAUACCCCCGUCAACUGCAAGAAAGGAACCACAGGACAGUUCUGGCACCAUAGGGGCUUCCUAAAGGUGACAUGCCCCCCAAAAACCAUUUGACGCUCCUUCCCUUCUGAGCCCUCUACUGGGCCCGCCGAACAAUUAACAUAGACAUAUGAGGUGACUGAUGUCCGGUGAGAAGGUGAAAGUGACCUAUACCCCCGUCAACUGCAAGAAAGGAAUCACAGGACAGGUAAUUAAUAUUUAUAUUAAUUACUGAUAGCAAUCAGGCUAGAUGUAAUAUCUAGACCUGCAGAGAUGUCAUAGUCUCCACCUUAUACAUGAACAUAUAUGUGUUGUUAAUAAGCAUAUCGUCUAUGGACAGCUUCUUAUAUAACACAACCAUGUCUCAGGUACAGAGAAUAGGAACAUUUAUGAUCCUUAAUAUCUGUUUUUUAUUUGUAGGAAUUCCUUUAUCAAUAUUUAAUAGAAUAGACCCGACUUACCCCUAGGUUUACAAGUUUCCUUUAGACAAACUGACUGCAGAUUUAGAACAUAACUGUAAUGUAAAGAAAAAUCUAUAAUUAGUUUUUGCUAGAAAUAUAUAAUUAUAAAAAUAAUGAGAAUUAAAAAACUAUAUAUUAAAAGACUAGAGCCAUAAUAAUACAUAGCCUGUUGAAAUAAUCAUGAAGCGCAUAAUACACUGCACUUUAAUACUAGUGCAAUGUAUUAUAUGAGCGAUCUUAAGAUCGCUGUUAAAAGUCCCCUUUGUAAACAAAACGUAAAGGCUAGCUAGGAAUUUUCAUCCGGAAUAACUAUUGCCGGAGGUUCCAAGCGUACAUUACCGUCAUCAUAGAUGGCAAUGUAUUCUGCCCGAAUCCUAUGUAAAUGAAGUUAAAAAUAAACAAUUUAUAAAAUAAUUCACCCCACCCCAACCCCUACAAAAAAAUAAAUGUUUAUAUAAAAAAGAAUAAAAAAAAAUAACCCAUUUCUCACCUCACAUAAGCUAUAAUUAAAAAUCGGCUGUCAACAUAAUGCUGACAGUGAUAAUACACUGCACUAUAACACUAUUGCAAUGUAUUAUAUGGGUGAUCAUAAGAUCACUGGGGAAAGGCCUCUCAUCGAAUUUGUUAAAAAAAAGACCAAAAAAUAAAAAAUAAAGAAAAAAAAGUUAAAAAAAAUAUUUAAACAGAACACCCUAAAAAAAAAAUAUUAAAAAAAGAAAAAAAACUUUAAAAACCAAAAACCCAAAAUAAAACCCAUGACAAUACUGUAACCAUACAUUGUCUUUUAGAAUAAUGACAAGAGGCGUAAGACACUAGUGCAGUGUAUUAUUACAUAGCUAUCGAAAGAUUGCUGCUCAAAGUCCCUUGAUGGGAAUAGUUAAAGGAAAUUUGUCACCAGUGUCACCUGCACUAACCUGUCGGUACCAACAGAUAGUGCAGGUGACACUAA
Hyla sarda is the source of this 2378-nucleotide long non-coding RNA. RefSeq lists it as uncharacterized. NCBI's taxonomy places the organism in Eukaryota, Metazoa, Chordata, Amphibia, Anura, Hylidae. The record is from RefSeq and is a predicted model, not a curated record. The transcript is spliced from 4 exons.